GGGUUGUGAGGUUAAGCGACUAAGCGUACACGGUGGAUGCCCUGGCAGUCAGAGGCGAUGAAGGACGUGCUAAUCUGCGAUAAGCGUCGGUAAGGUGAUAUGAACCGUUAUAACCGGCGAUUUCCGAAUGGGGAAACCCAGUGUGUUUCGACACACUAUCAUUAACUGAAUCCAUAGGUUAAUGAGGCGAACCGGGGGAACUGAAACAUCUAAGUACCCCGAGGAAAAGAAAUCAACCGAGAUUCCCCCAGUAGCGGCGAGCGAACGGGGAGCAGCCCAGAGCCUGAAUCAGUAUGUGUGUUAGUGGAAGCGUCUGGAAAGGCGCGCGAUACAGGGUGACAGCCCCGUACACAAAAAUGCACAUGCUGUGAGCUCGAUGAGUAGGGCGGGACACGUGGUAUCCUGUCUGAAUAUGGGGGGACCAUCCUCCAAGGCUAAAUACUCCUGACUGACCGAUAGUGAACCAGUACCGUGAGGGAAAGGCGAAAAGAACCCCGGCGAGGGGAGUGAAAAAGAACCUGAAACCGUGUACGUACAAGCAGUGGGAGCACGCUUAGGCGUGUGACUGCGUACCUUUUGUAUAAUGGGUCAGCGACUUAUAUUCUGUAGCAAGGUUAACCGAAUAGGGGAGCCGAAGGGAAACCGAGUCUUAACUGGGCGUUAAGUUGCAGGGUAUAGACCCGAAACCCGGUGAUCUAGCCAUGGGCAGGUUGAAGGUUGGGUAACACUAACUGGAGGACCGAACCGACUAAUGUUGAAAAAUUAGCGGAUGACUUGUGGCUGGGGGUGAAAGGCCAAUCAAACCGGGAGAUAGCUGGUUCUCCCCGAAAGCUAUUUAGGUAGCGCCUCGUGAAUUCAUCUCCGGGGGUAGAGCACUGUUUCGGCAAGGGGGUCAUCCCGACUUACCAACCCGAUGCAAACUGCGAAUACCGGAGAAUGUUAUCACGGGAGACACACGGCGGGUGCUAACGUCCGUCGUGAAGAGGGAAACAACCCAGACCGCCAGCUAAGGUCCCAAAGUCAUGGUUAAGUGGGAAACGAUGUGGGAAGGCCCAGACAGCCAGGAUGUUGGCUUAGAAGCAGCCAUCAUUUAAAGAAAGCGUAAUAGCUCACUGGUCGAGUCGGCCUGCGCGGAAGAUGUAACGGGGCUAAACCAUGCACCGAAGCUGCGGCAGCGACGCUGAUGCGUUGUUGGGUAGGGGAGCGUUCUGUAAGCCUGUGAAGGUGUGCUGUGAGGCAUGCUGGAGGUAUCAGAAGUGCGAAUGCUGACAUAAGUAACGAUAAAGCGGGUGAAAAGCCCGCUCGCCGGAAGACCAAGGGUUCCUGUCCAACGUUAAUCGGGGCAGGGUGAGUCGACCCCUAAGGCGAGGCCGAAAGGCGUAGUCGAUGGGAAACAGGUUAAUAUUCCUGUACUUGGUGUUACUGCGAAGGGGGGACGGAGAAGGCUAUGUUGGCCGGGCGACGGUUGUCCCGGUUUAAGCGUGUAGGCUGGUUUUCCAGGCAAAUCCGGAAAAUCAAGGCUGAGGCGUGAUGACGAGGCACUACGGUGCUGAAGCAACAAAUGCCCUGCUUCCAGGAAAAGCCUCUAAGCAUCAGGUAACAUCAAAUCGUACCCCAAACCGACACAGGUGGUCAGGUAGAGAAUACCAAGGCGCUUGAGAGAACUCGGGUGAAGGAACUAGGCAAAAUGGUGCCGUAACUUCGGGAGAAGGCACGCUGAUAUGUAGGUGAAGUCCCUCGCGGAUGGAGCUGAAAUCAGUCGAAGAUACCAGCUGGCUGCAACUGUUUAUUAAAAACACAGCACUGUGCAAACACGAAAGUGGACGUAUACGGUGUGACGCCUGCCCGGUGCCGGAAGGUUAAUUGAUGGGGUUAGCGCAAGCGAAGCUCUUGAUCGAAGCCCCGGUAAACGGCGGCCGUAACUAUAACGGUCCUAAGGUAGCGAAAUUCCUUGUCGGGUAAGUUCCGACCUGCACGAAUGGCGUAAUGAUGGCCAGGCUGUCUCCACCCGAGACUCAGUGAAAUUGAACUCGCUGUGAAGAUGCAGUGUACCCGCGGCAAGACGGAAAGACCCCGUGAACCUUUACUAUAGCUUGACACUGAACAUUGAGCCUUGAUGUGUAGGAUAGGUGGGAGGCUUUGAAGUGUGGACGCCAGUCUGCAUGGAGCCGACCUUGAAAUACCACCCUUUAAUGUUUGAUGUUCUAACGUUGACCCGUAAUCCGGGUUGCGGACAGUGUCUGGUGGGUAGUUUGACUGGGGCGGUCUCCUCCUAAAGAGUAACGGAGGAGCACGAAGGUUGGCUAAUCCUGGUCGGACAUCAGGAGGUUAGUGCAAUGGCAUAAGCCAGCUUGACUGCGAGCGUGACGGCGCGAGCAGGUGCGAAAGCAGGUCAUAGUGAUCCGGUGGUUCUGAAUGGAAGGGCCAUCGCUCAACGGAUAAAAGGUACUCCGGGGAUAACAGGCUGAUACCGCCCAAGAGUUCAUAUCGACGGCGGUGUUUGGCACCUCGAUGUCGGCUCAUCACAUCCUGGGGCUGAAGUAGGUCCCAAGGGUAUGGCUGUUCGCCAUUUAAAGUGGUACGCGAGCUGGGUUUAGAACGUCGUGAGACAGUUCGGUCCCUAUCUGCCGUGGGCGCUGGAGAACUGAGGGGGGCUGCUCCUAGUACGAGAGGACCGGAGUGGACGCAUCACUGGUGUUCGGGUUGUCAUGCCAAUGGCACUGCCCGGUAGCUAAAUGCGGAAGAGAUAAGUGCUGAAAGCAUCUAAGCACGAAACUUGCCCCGAGAUGAGUUCUCCCUGACUCCUUGAGAGUCCUGAAGGAACGUUGAAGAC
Molecule: ribosomal RNA, 2833 nt
Filed under: Escherichia coli
Lineage: Bacteria; Pseudomonadati; Pseudomonadota; Gammaproteobacteria; Enterobacterales; Enterobacteriaceae
Description: bacterial LSU rRNA
Rfam family: Bacterial large subunit ribosomal RNA
Source: RNAcentral